RNAcentral lists this ribosomal RNA (433 nucleotides) under uncultured bacterium. RNAcentral's name for it is "partial 16S ribosomal RNA". It matches the Rfam family "Bacterial small subunit ribosomal RNA", at positions 29 to 507 of the family's 1533-position model. The record is from RNAcentral.
AACGAACGCUGGCGGCAUGCCUAACACAUGCAAGUCGAACGAGACCUUCGGGUCUAGUGGCGCACGGGUGCGUAACGCGUGGGAAUCUGCCCUUGGGUUCGGAAUAACAGUUGGAAACGACUGCUAAUACCGGAUGAUGACGUAAGUCCAAAGAUUUAUCGCCCAAGGAUGAGCCCGCGUAGGAUUAGCUAGUUGGUGAGGUAAAGGCUCACCAAGGCGACGAUCCUUAGCUGGUCUGAGAGGAUGAUCAGCCACACUGGGACUGAGACACGGUCCAGACUCCUACGGGAGGCAGCAGUGGGGAAUAUUGGACAAUGGGCGAAAGCCUGAUCCAGCAAUGCCGCGUGAGUGAUGAAGGCCUUAGGGUUGUAAAGCUCUUUUACCCGGGAUGAUAAUGACAGUACCGGGAGAAUAAGCUCCGGCUAACUCCGUG